UACAGAGGGGGCUAGCGUUAUUCGGAAUUAUUGGGCGUAAAGGGCGCGUAGGCGGCCAUGCGUGUCUUCCGUGAAAUCCCUCGGCUUAACUGAGGACGUGCGGAAGAAACUGCAAGGCUCGAGUCCGGGAGAGGGGGGUGGAAUUCCCAGUGUAGCGGUGAAAUGCGUAGAUAUUGGGAGGAAUACCGGUGGCGGAGGCGGCUCCCUGGACCGGUACUGACGCUGAGGCGCGAAAGCGUGAGUAGCAAACAGG
This 253-nucleotide ribosomal RNA is filed under the name uncultured bacterium. RNAcentral's name for it is "partial 16S ribosomal RNA". It matches the Rfam family "Bacterial small subunit ribosomal RNA", at positions 524 to 776 of the family's 1533-position model. The record is from RNAcentral.